AGAGGGGGACAACAGUUGGAAACGACUGCUAAUACCGCAUAAGCCCACGACCCGGCAUCGGGAAGAGGGAAAAGGAGCAAUCCGCUUUGAGAUGGCCUCGCGUCCGAUUAGCUAGUUGGUGAGGUAACGGCCCACCAAGGCAACGAUCGGUAGCCGGACUGAGAGGUUGAACGGCCACAUUGGGACUGAGACACGGCCCAGACUCCUACGGGAGGCAGCAGUGGGGAAUAUUGCACAAUGGGGGAAACCCUGAUGCAGCGACGCCGCGUGGAGGAAGAAGGUCUUCGGAUUGUAAACUCCUGUUGUUGAGGAAGAUAAUGACGGUACUCAACAAGGAAGUGACGGCUAACUACGUGCCAGCAGCCGCGGUAAAACGUAGGUCACAAGCGUUGUCCGGAAUUACUGGGUGUAAAGGGAGCGCAGGCGGGAAGACAAGUUGGAAGUGAAAUCCAUGGGCUCAACCCAUGAACUGCUUUCAAAACUGUUUUUCUUGAGUAGUGCAGAGGUAGGCGGAAUUCCCGGUGUAGCGGUGGAAUGCGUAGAUAUCGGGAGGAACACCAGUGGCGAAGGCGGCCUACUGGGCACCAACUGACGCUGAGGCUCGAAAGUGUGGGUAGCAAACAGGAUUAGAUACCCUGGUAGUCCACACCGUAAACGA
This 658-nucleotide ribosomal RNA is filed under the name uncultured bacterium. Its description in RNAcentral is "bacterial SSU rRNA". It matches the Rfam family "Bacterial small subunit ribosomal RNA", at positions 135 to 809 of the family's 1533-position model. The record is from RNAcentral.